CCCUAAACAUGGAUUUUUCUNUACGUACAUAAAAAUCCGCCAGAGAAAUUUUUAAUCACAAAUUUAAAUCUCAGGGGUUUUGCGGGUGUCUCAAAUCCAUCUAGGGGAGCCUUUUCUAUAAUCGAUACUCCACGAUCUCCCUCACCACCCAUGGCCCNCCAGCCUAUAUCCCCCCCUCUUCAGCCUACCUUAUGAAGGUUUAAAGGUAGGNAUAAUNGCCAACAAGCACUAACAAGUCAGGUCAGGGUGUAGCCCAUGGGGNGGAAGAAAUCGNCUACAUUUUCUCCCAAAGGAAAUCUCCUUAACAGGAGGGGCCCUGGAAUUAGGACCCAUAAAGCAGGAUUUAGCAGUAAUGUAAGAACAGAGAGCCUACAUUAAUUAGGACUGAGAC
RNAcentral lists this ribosomal RNA (391 nucleotides) under Acanthochelys pallidipectoris. Its description in RNAcentral is "partial 12S ribosomal RNA". Lineage: Eukaryota; Metazoa; Chordata; Testudines; Chelidae. The record is from RNAcentral.